GACAUGUACUUUACUAUUCAAUUCUUUAUAUAUAUAUAUAAUUAUAUAAUAUAUAUAUAAUAUUAUAAAGCAAGUAAAGCUUCUGCCUAAUCUUCUGGUACGUCGUAAUCUCCUUGGACCCACUUGACAUAGCCAAAUCCUCUCCUUGGAGACAGAAACUAUGGGACUUCGAGGCGGACUCAGCUACGAUCGCCGCAUCUACCUCUGAUCCUACAGUACAAAUGCCAAUAAAAAGAUUCAAGCAAUCUCGAGAAGGAUCGCACACCUCCGGAUUUGAGGGAAGGAAGAGCAGGGCAAAGCCGCCUUCGGAUUGCAAGGAGGGAGAGGAAGGGAGGAGCCGCCACCUGCUACGAGCAGCAACGUGGACGACGAAGGAUACCGAAGUCGAGGAUGAGCAGCAAUUGUAGGAUGCCUGCUUCUGCUCGUGUGCGUUGACCUCCUGCCCACGGGGACUCUGUCCUCGAUCCGUUUGCAACGAAUCUAGAGGAGCACGGCGGCAGGAGCAAUCGCCAGUGGUGGCGCGGCGCUCUCCGCUCGGGGCCUCUCGGUCUCUCUCCCAUAUACGAUUUGGUUCGGAUAAGGUGGGUGGUGACGGGAGGAUAAAAAUUUACUGUGAGCUCCAAGUGAGAAAGAAUAUUUUUUUUACCUGUACACGAA
This 657-nucleotide long non-coding RNA is filed under the name Setaria italica (foxtail millet). Its description in RNAcentral is "long non-coding RNA (SITA_LNC005152)". The record is from RNAcentral. Lineage: Eukaryota; Viridiplantae; Streptophyta; Magnoliopsida; Poales; Poaceae.